RNAcentral lists this long non-coding RNA (270 nucleotides) under Ricinus communis (castor bean). RNAcentral's name for it is "long non-coding RNA (RCOM_LNC002341)". Lineage: Eukaryota; Viridiplantae; Streptophyta; Magnoliopsida; Malpighiales; Euphorbiaceae. The record is from RNAcentral.
UUGCAAAAUCUUUCUAGAGGAAACGAAUUUCUUGGGAUGUUUCAUUAUGCAGUUUUUCAGAUAAAUUGACUCGGCUAAGUAGCAAGCACUCAUGUCAAAUCAAACCAUUGAAUUAAUCUUUGUUUGCCAACUUCAGCAGCCCUACCAUAAAGGCUUCAACACUCUACAGAGAUCAAGAAGCGCUCUCCAGCUUGGAUCAAUCCUCUGUACAAGCGUGUGAAAGAGAUUAUGAGAGUUAUUCCUAUUAUGUCUUAUAUAUCUGAUCUUGUC